UGGUCCCCUUAAGGUUGUGCUUAAGCACAGG
RNAcentral lists this small RNA (31 nucleotides) under Bombyx mori (domestic silkworm). RNAcentral describes it as "ovarian small RNA-35139". The record is from RNAcentral. Lineage: Eukaryota; Metazoa; Arthropoda; Insecta; Lepidoptera; Bombycidae.